RNAcentral lists this non-coding RNA (79 nucleotides) under chicken gut metagenome. RNAcentral's name for it is "TPP riboswitch (THI element)". It matches the Rfam family "TPP riboswitch aptamer (THI element)", at positions 8 to 91 of the family's 105-position model. From Rfam's summary of the family: Vitamin B(1) in its active form thiamin pyrophosphate (TPP) is an essential coenzyme that is synthesised by coupling of pyrimidine and thiazole moieties in bacteria. The record is from RNAcentral.
CUUGUCGGAGUGCCUUCGGGCUGAGACUGCACUGCAGAAUCCGCUAUACCUGAUCAGGUUAAUGCCUGCGUAGGGAACA